CAUCGAUGAAGAACGCAGCGAAAUGCGAUAAGUAAUGUGAAUUACAGAAUUCAGUGAAUCAUCGAAUCUUUGAACGCAUCUUGCGCUCCUUGGUAUUCCGAGGAGCAUGCCUGUUUGAGUGUCAU
Molecule: ribosomal RNA, 125 nt
Filed under: Agaricus nevoi
Lineage: Eukaryota; Fungi; Basidiomycota; Agaricomycetes; Agaricales; Agaricaceae
Description: 5.8S ribosomal RNA
Rfam family: 5.8S ribosomal RNA
About the family: 5.8S ribosomal RNA (5.8S rRNA) is a component of the large subunit of the eukaryotic ribosome.
Source: RNAcentral